This 253-nucleotide ribosomal RNA is filed under the name uncultured bacterium. RNAcentral's name for it is "partial 16S ribosomal RNA". It matches the Rfam family "Bacterial small subunit ribosomal RNA", at positions 524 to 776 of the family's 1533-position model. The record is from RNAcentral.
GACGAACCGUGCGAACGUUGUUCGGAAUCACUGGGCUUAAAGGGCGCGUAGGCGGGCUAUCAAGUCCGGGGUGAAAUCCUCCAGCUCAACUGGAGAACGGCCUCGGAUACUGAUGGUCUCGAGGAGGAUAGGGGCACACGGAACUGUGGGUGGAGCGGUGAAAUGCGUAGAUAUCAGGAGGAACACCGGUGGCGAAGGCGGCUAUCUGGACAGAAACUGACGCUGAGGCGCGAAAGCUAGGGGAGCAAACAGG